This is a long non-coding RNA of Humulus lupulus (European hop), 951 nucleotides long. RefSeq lists it as uncharacterized. The record is from RefSeq and is a predicted model, not a curated record. The transcript is spliced from 2 exons. Lineage: Eukaryota; Viridiplantae; Streptophyta; Magnoliopsida; Rosales; Cannabaceae.
UACAUGGACUUUCUUGGACACUCUUGUAAUAUCACGACUAUUUUCUCACGCCUUAUUAGACACACAUUACAUGUAUUUAUAGCCUACGAAAGAACAUUCAAAUCUUUUUAGAAUUUUCAAACUUUAUAAUUUAUUUAAUUAUUUUAUACAUUUUUCUAAAUAAUUCUAAAACGCUCUAUAUAUCAUUUAACUUUUCUAGAAUAUUGUAAUUAGUUUUAAAUUUCUUCGAGAACUUUAGAGAUUUCUCAAAGUAGUUUUUACUUUCAUGUUCAUCCUAUAGAUUCUAUAAGUAUCGCAUGUUGUAUACGGUAAUGACUUUUAACAUAUCCGUGGUGGCAACUACAAACUGCCUGCUGUUUCUCUCCAGCCCUUCAUUGUCGUUCAUUUUCCACUACCGACUCUCACAGGCCCAUUCAUUCGAAUAUCUGUUCUAACACCUACAAACCCUUUUCCGCUUCCAAGAUAUACCCCUCCAUCACUCUCUCCACGUACCCAGUCCCAAAACCCUGUAAUAAAGUUUAUCCCCUUUUCCUUUUGUACUCUAAUUUAUUCACAACUUGAAUUUUUGUUUUAUUUUAGGACCAAACCGUGCAUAUAAGUCUUCGGUGAUUUCAGGGCUGGUAAAUGGAAACUCUGACACUCUGAAACGCACCCAGAAUCUGAAUCAAGCAUUUCAAACUCGUGUGCAGGGUGCCUUCAGAUUCACAAGUUAGUUGAUAAUCUUGGCCUUGUAGAAGUACGACUUACGAGAGGAAAUUAGUACAGACUAGAACAAAGAUGAAGUUUGAACCAUGACUUUGAUUUCGUUAUGCUGUUCUGAUUUUGUUUUGCUAAGUUGGAUGGUGAUUGUAAUUAAAAACUCAUCUUCACAAAUAUAUUAACCAUGAAAGAAUUGAAGAAAUACAAAAAUAAACAAAUACAGAAAGAACAUCACUGUUGAAUCAUUAUCGA